UACGUAGGGGGCAAGCGUUAUCCGGAAUCACUGGGCGUAAAGGGAGCGUAGGCGGUUUGACAAGCCAGCGGUGAAAGGCAAUAGCUUAACUAUUGUAAGCCAUUGGAACUGUCGAACUUGAGUGUAGGAGAGGAAAGUGGAAUUCCUAGUGUAGCGGUGAAAUGCGUAGAUAUUAGGAGGAACACCAGUGGCGAAGGCGACUUUCUGGACUAUAACUGACGCUGAGGCUCGAAAGCGUGGGGAGCAAACA
This 250-nucleotide ribosomal RNA is filed under the name uncultured archaeon. RNAcentral describes it as "partial 16S ribosomal RNA". It matches the Rfam family "Bacterial small subunit ribosomal RNA", at positions 524 to 774 of the family's 1533-position model. The record is from RNAcentral.